CGGGCAUAGCAAUAUGUCAGCGGCAGACGGGUGAGUAACGCGUGGGAACGUACCUUUUGGUUCGGAACAACACAGGGAAACUUGUGCUAAUACCGGAUAAGCCCUUACGGGGAAAGAUUUAUCGCCGAAAGAUCGGCCCGCGUCUGAUUAGCUAGUUGGUGAGGUAAUGGCUCACCAAGGCGACGAUCAGUAGCUGGUCUGAGAGGAUGAUCAGCCACAUUGGGACUGAGACACGGCCCAAACUCCUACGGGAGGCAGCAGUGGGGAAUAUUGGACAAUGGGCGCAAGCCUGAUCCAGCCAUGCCGCGUGAGUGAUGAAGGCCCUAGGGUUGUAAAGCUCUUUUGUGCGGGAAGAUAAUGACGGUACCGCAAGAAUAAGCCCCGGCUAACUUCGUGCCAGCAGCCGCGGUAAUACGAAGGGGGCUAGCGUUGCUCGGAAUCACUGGGCGUAAAGGGUGCGUAGGCGGGUCUUUAAGUCAGGGGUGAAAUCCUGGAGCUCAACUCCAGAACUGCCUUUGAUACUGAAGAUCUUGAGUUCGGGAGAGGUGAGUGGAACUGCGAGUGUAGAGGUGAAAUUCGUAGAUAUUCGCAAGAACACCAGUGGCGAAGGCGGCUCACUGGCCCGAUACUGACGCUGAGGCACGAAAGCGUGGGGAGCAAACAGGAU
This 667-nucleotide ribosomal RNA is filed under the name Bradyrhizobium sp. RNAcentral's name for it is "bacterial SSU rRNA". It matches the Rfam family "Bacterial small subunit ribosomal RNA", at positions 67 to 778 of the family's 1533-position model. Lineage: Bacteria; Pseudomonadati; Pseudomonadota; Alphaproteobacteria; Hyphomicrobiales; Nitrobacteraceae. The record is from RNAcentral.